RNAcentral lists this ribosomal RNA (253 nucleotides) under uncultured bacterium. Its description in RNAcentral is "partial 16S ribosomal RNA". It matches the Rfam family "Bacterial small subunit ribosomal RNA", at positions 524 to 776 of the family's 1533-position model. The record is from RNAcentral.
UACGUAGGGGGCUAGCGUUGUCCGGAUUUAUUGGGCGUAAAGGGCGCGUAGGCGGCCUGACAAGUGGAAGGUGAAAUCCCUCGGCUCAACUGAGGAACUGCCCUCCAAACUGUUUGGCUUGAGACCGGGAGAGGAGAUUGGAAUUCCCGGUGUAGCGGUGAAAUGUGUAGAGAUCGGGAGGAACACCGGUGGCGAAGGCGGGUCUCUGGGCAUCUCCUGACGCUGAGGCGCGAAAGCGUGGGGAGCAAACGGG